RNAcentral lists this ribosomal RNA (261 nucleotides) under uncultured prokaryote. RNAcentral describes it as "partial 16S ribosomal RNA". It matches the Rfam family "Bacterial small subunit ribosomal RNA", at positions 524 to 784 of the family's 1533-position model. The record is from RNAcentral.
UACGGAAGGUCCGGGCGUUAUCCGGAUUUAUUGGGUUUAAAGGGUGCGUAGGCGGACUAUUAAGUCAGUGGUGAAAGCCUGCAGCUUAACUGCAGAACUGCCAUUGAUACUGAUAGUCUUGAGUUUGGUUAAGGUAGGCGGAAUGUGUAAUGUAGCGGUGAAAUGCUUAGAUAUUACACAGAACACCAAUUGCGUAGGCAGCUUACUGAGCCGACACUGACGCUGAGGCACGAAAGCGUGGGGAUCGAACAGGAUUAGAUA